RNAcentral lists this ribosomal RNA (739 nucleotides) under uncultured bacterium. Its description in RNAcentral is "bacterial SSU rRNA". It matches the Rfam family "Bacterial small subunit ribosomal RNA", at positions 9 to 745 of the family's 1533-position model. The record is from RNAcentral.
GAGUUUGAUCCUGGCUCAGAUUGAACGCUGGCGGCAUGCCUAACACAUGCAAGUCGAACGGUAGCAGGCCUUCGGGUGCUGACGAGUGGCGGACGGGUGAGUAAUGCGUAGGAAUCUGUCUUUUAGUGGGGGACAACCCAGGGAAACUUGGGCUAAUACCGCAUGAGCCCUGAGGGGGAAAGCGGGGGAUCUUCGGACCUCGCGCUAAGGGGGGAGCCUACGUCUGAUUAGCUAGUUGGUAGGGUAAAGGCCUACCAAGGCGACGAUCAGUAGCUGGUCUGAGAGGACGACCAGCCACACUGGGACUGAGACACGGCCCAGACUCCUACGGGAGGCAGCAGUGGGGAAUUUUUCGCAAUGGGGGCAACCCUGACGAAGCAAUGCCGCGUGGAUGAAGAAGGCCUUCGGGUUGUAAAGUCCUUUCGUGGGGGACGAAAAGGUGGUUCCUAAUACGAGCUGCUGUUGACGUGAACCCAAGAAGAAGCACCGGCUAACUCCGUGCCAGCAGCCGCGGUAAUACGGGGGGUGCAAGCGUUAAUCGGAAUCACUGGGCGUAAAGGGUGCGUAGGCGGUACGUUAGGUCUGUCGUGAAAUCCCCGGGCUCAACCUGGGAAUGGCGGUAGAAACCGGCGCACUAGAGUAUGGGAGAGGGUGGUGGAAUUCCAGGUGUAGCGGUGAAAUGCGUAGAGAUCUGGAGGAACAUCAGUGGCGAAGGCGGCCACCUGGCCCAAUACUGACG